This 18-nucleotide non-coding RNA is filed under the name Arabidopsis thaliana (thale cress). The record is from RNAcentral. Lineage: Eukaryota; Viridiplantae; Streptophyta; Magnoliopsida; Brassicales; Brassicaceae.
UUUGUUGUGUGAUGAUGU